GGAUGGAUCAUUCAUAUUAAAGUGAAAGGUUUAGUGUCAAAAGCUUGUUAUAUUUGAAUGAAAUAUAGGUGGUCGGUGGCACUGGAAAAAUAGGGACUUUGAGUUGAAAAAACAACUUUCAGCGAUGGAUGUCUCGGGCCUCCUUGCGAUGAAGGUCGUAGCUGUAUGCGAUAAGUAAUAUGACUUGUAGUUUUUAGGGAAUAAUUAAAUUUCUGAAUGCGAAAGGUACCCAUAAUACUUCUUAUGGGUAUGUCCAGUUCAGUGCUUUUAUUUAAUUUAACUAAUACAACUGUAUGCCAGACCAAGGCAGGUUGCUUUAUUAGUGUGGUGAUCUGCUAAGUGUUUGGUGGAUAUUGUGUAAUAAAAGAAUUAUAUAUGAUGUGGAAAAGUCAUAUUUAGAUUCAAACUGCUUAUAAUCUUAAAUAGCCUGAGGUUGGUCAAGAUAACUGACUGAAUUUAAGCAUAUUAAUAAGUCGUGGAAUAGAAAUUAACCAAGAUCUCCUUAGUAACGGCGAGUGAAAAGGGGAGUGCUCAAACUGAAAAUUGGCAACUUAUGUUGUUGAAUUGUAGCCUCAUGAAGUGUAACUGUUGAAUUGCUUGAGAUAGUUCUUUUGGAAAGGAGAGCAGUAUAGGGUGAGAGUCCCGUAUUUGCUCAAGACAAUUCUUGCUUGGCGCACUAUCAAUGAGUCGCGUUCCUUGAGAGUGGAAUGUAAAUGUGGUGGUAAACUUCAUCUAAAGCUAAAUAUUCUGAGGCCCUGAUAGUCUAUAAGUACCGUGAGGGAAAGAUGAAAAGAACUUUGAAAAGGGAGUUAAAAGUCACUAAAAUUGCUAAGAGGGAA
RNAcentral lists this unclassified non-coding RNA (839 nucleotides) under uncultured soil eukaryote. RNAcentral's name for it is "sequence contains 18S rRNA gene, ITS1, 5.8S rRNA gene, ITS2, 28S rRNA gene". The stretch from base 424 to 839 matches the Rfam family "Eukaryotic large subunit ribosomal RNA", at positions 1 to 418 of the family's 3401-position model. The record is from RNAcentral.